ACAGAUACCAUCAAGUCUCCCACUCAAUCCCAUAAGAACAAUACACUGAUCACCACAACAGAAGGGGCCUUUAAUAAGACCAGUCCCCCGGAACAAGGAAGCCAGCUGUGUUCUGGUGCACAGACGUGCCUGAGAAGGACUCUGUGGGUGCUACGUCACGCCGGGCUUGUUUUGGUGUUCCUAAUAUGCACCGCCGUCGCCUUUUGGAAGAUCUGGCAAAACCGCAGAGCAAUGCAAUCAAGAGAGAAUAGAAGACACAGGACGUUACGCAACCAAAUGAUGACG
Molecule: long non-coding RNA, 285 nt
Organism: Conger conger (European conger)
Lineage: Eukaryota; Metazoa; Chordata; Actinopteri; Anguilliformes; Congridae
Exons: 3
Source: RefSeq, a predicted model, not a curated record